GAUGAACGCUGGCGGCGUGCCUAAUACAUGCAAGUCGAGCGGUAAGGCCUCUUCGGAGGUACACGAGCGGCGGACGGCUGAGUAACGCGUAGGAACGUACCCCAAAGUGAGGGAUAAGCACCAGAAAUGGUGUCUAAUACCGCAUGUGGCCCACGGGCUAAAGCUUCGGCGCUUUGGGAACGGCCUGCGUAAGAUUAGCUAGUUGGUGAGGUAAUGGCUCACCAAGGCGACGAUCUUUAGCUGGUCUGAGAGGAUGAUCAGCCAGACUGGGACUGAGACACGGCCCAGACUCCUACGGGAGGCAGCAGUAGGGAAUUCUCCACAAUGGGCGAAAGCCUGAUGGAGCAACGCCGCGUGCAGGAUGAAUGCCUUCGGGUUGUAAACUGCUUUUAUAUGCGACGAAUAUGACGGUAGCAUAUGAAUAAGGAUCGGCUAACUCCGUGCCAGCCGCCGCAGUAA
Molecule: ribosomal RNA, 459 nt
Filed under: uncultured bacterium
Lineage: Bacteria
Description: partial 16S ribosomal RNA
Rfam family: Bacterial small subunit ribosomal RNA
Source: RNAcentral